CCACUGGAAGGGAAGAGCAGCUUCAUCAGCCGGAGAGUAGCAGCCAUGUUAGUCUGUAUUCGCCCAAAAAAAAAAAAAAAAAAAAGGACUUGUGGCACCUUAGAGAGAGGAUGGCCAGGGACUGCCCUCCUCUGGGACAGGCCAAACUGGGGGCGGGUGGGAGCGUGGGCCCCAUGUCCUACCCCCUCCCAGUCUACAGCUCCAAGCAGAAGCGCUGCCCCCCGGUGAUUGAGCACGGGGACAGCGCCCUCCUCUGGUUCCGCAGCUGGCUGAGGAGUACCUGCCAGAGCAUUGGGGAGCAGGACCUCAGCUGAGCAGUGCUACUGGUUGCCCCAGUGCAUGCUGGGAUCGGGACUCCUGCCCCAUGGUGUCCUCACUGCCAGCUACCCCCAGUGUUGGGGGGGGCAGUCCUCUCUGAUUGGACAGUUCUGCUUACUCUGCACUUGAUUGGCUGGGCCAGCACCUCAAGGAGUCCAAUUGGCUGGCAGGAUGUGCUCCUGGGAAAUGUCACCUGCAGCUGAAUGCAGUCCCCUCACUGGGUGGCAUGUUUGAGGCCUGUGCCCCCUCUUCUCUCAUUGGCCGAGUCUGCUAGCUCCAGAGAGGUGCAGUUUGUGAUUGGAUGGGGCCACCCUCACCUGUGCUGGCCUGUGAUGCACCCCUGGGUCCUCCCUUGUCUGUGAUUGGAUGACUCCAUACACCCAUGAGCCUCUGACUGGUUGGUAUAGCCAGCACCAGCCACCCCACUAGAGGUGCCUUCAGCAUGUGAUUGACAGCUGUCCGGGGGGCACUGUUAUCACUGAACCCCCUCCCAGGAGUCGGGGCUAUGAGGGCCUCCCCA
This is a long non-coding RNA of Dermochelys coriacea (leatherback sea turtle), 838 nucleotides long. RefSeq lists it as uncharacterized. Lineage: Eukaryota; Metazoa; Chordata; Testudines; Dermochelyidae. The transcript has 2 exons. The record is from RefSeq and is a predicted model, not a curated record.